CGUGCUUAACACAUGCAAGUCGAGCGGUAAGGCCCUUUCGGGGGUACACGAGCGGCGAACGGGUGGGUAACACGUGGGUAACCUGCCCUCAGCUCUGGGAUAAGCCCGGGAAACUGGGUCUAAUACCGGAUAUGACUCCGCAUCGCAUGGUGUGGGGUGGAAAGCCUUGUGCGGCUGAGGAUGGGCCCGCGGCCUAUCAGCUUGUUGGUGGGGUAGUGGCCUACCAAGGCGACGACGGGUAGCCGGCCUGAGAGGGCGACCGGCCACACUGGGACUGAGACACGGCCCAGACUCCUACGGGAGGCAGCAGUGGGGAAUAUUGCGCAAUGGGCGAAAGCCUGACGCAGCGACGCCGCGUGAGGGAUGACGGCCUUCGGGUUGUAAACCUCUUUCAGCUCCGACGAAGCCUUCGGGUGACGGUAGGGGCAGAAGAAGCACCGGCCAACUACGUGCCAGCAGCCGCGGUAAUACGUAGGGUGCAAGCGUUGUCCGGAAUUAUUGGGCGUAAAGAGCUCGUAGGCGGUUUGUCGCGUCGACUGUGAAAACUCAGGGGCUCAACUCCGAGCUUGCAGUUGAUACGGGCAGACUAGAGUUCGGCAGGGGAGACUGGAAUUCCUGGUGUAGCGGUGAAAUGCGCAGAUAUCAGGAGGAACACCGGUGGCGAAGGCGGGUCUCUGGGCCGAUACUGACGCUGAGAGCGAAAGCGUGGGGAGCGAACAGGAUUAGAUACCCUGGUAGUCCACGCCGUAAACGUUGGGCGCUAGGUGUGG
Molecule: ribosomal RNA, 770 nt
Filed under: uncultured bacterium
Lineage: Bacteria
Description: bacterial SSU rRNA
Rfam family: Bacterial small subunit ribosomal RNA
Source: RNAcentral